AGUUACUUCUCACACAGGACUCAUAACGCCCUUUCUGUGAGAGAUAACUUUUUGUCGUCCUCUCCUUUGUUCAAUUUUCCACAGACUUCACACUUUCAACAAACAUGGUGAGUAUGGGAACGGUUUUUUCUUACCUAUAAUGUCACAAAUUAACUAAAAUCAAAUCUCUUAGGUAUGUUAUCACGUGGCGGUUAACCUUUUUGAUUUUAACUUUUAGGCGGUUAACCAGAUCAGGCCUUAAUUUGAGUCAAUGUGUCCGUAUUUUUUUUUGUUAGAUUCAGAUAAAAAUAACAAAGGGAUGAGCUCAAAUUCAAGUUGAGUCUCGGCCUUUUUGUUUUCCGGGUUUUUCUGUCUGUACAAUGACCCACUUAGCAGAGGUCAAUGUGGUCUCAGCCUGAGGUAUUCCUGCUUGUUUGAGAAGACCAAACCUCUCUUAACCCAACCCUUUUUUUGGUUGUAUAGAUAUUUUCAUGUUCUACAUUGUGUGGGCUCAGCUCUUUUCUAUCACAGUCUCAAACCGCAGCUGUGUUGGGUUUGGCCCCACCACAGUAUGUACUUUGAUAGGGUUUAGUUCACUGUCUGAAUAGUCUGAAUAGGCCUCUUGUCUGAUCAUUUCCACCCAAGGGAAUUUUUCUCGCUCCUGAGGGUAAAUAGAUGUUGGAACUUGUCAUCAGGUGACUUUAGUCAUGAAGCUCUGGUAUUUGUCUUGACAAAAGAACCUUUUUUCCUCCUCCUGAAGUCUCACAUUAACACUGUGACCCACCUCGGCAUGUGAUGAGUCGCCUUCAGGGUCUGAUUCAUCACAUUUGAGAUAAGAAAUGUGAAAGCACCUUUUAGCCGAGUGAUUAUUUCAUUACAUUAAAAAUAACAAAAAGCUCGAAAAAUAUUCUGAUUGUUGUUUUUCUGUCUCCACAGCGUGAGUGUAUCUCCAUCCACGUUGGUCAGGCCGGUGUCCAGAUCGGUAAUGCUUGUUGGGAGCUUUACUGCCUGGAACAUGGCAUCCAGCCAGACGGACAGAUGCCCAGUGACAAAACACUGGGAGGAGGAGAUGAUUCCUUCAACACCUUCUUCAGUGAGACUGGAGCUGGAAAGCACGUCCCCAGAGCUGUUUUUGUAGAUCUGGAGCCCACUGUGAUCGGUGAGUGUCAUUAGUUUAGUAAAAAUAUGAAUUUUAGGGAGUAAAGAUCGGAGGAGUGACAAUAAGGAACCGUAAUAACCCUGUUCUCACUUGUGUUUUUAGAUGAAGUGCGCUCUGGGACCUACCGCCAGCUGUUCCACCCAGAGCAGCUGAUCACUGGAAAGGAGGAUGCUGCCAACAACUACGCCCGUGGACACUACACCAUCGGCAAAGAGAUCAUCGACCUGGUGCUGGACAGGAUCCGCAAACUGGUGGGUAGUAAUAUAAGAAAGAAGAAAUUGCUUGUUUCGACUAAAUUGAAUUUAAAAAAAAAUUAAGGUUCAUUCUCACUGUCUCUCCCUCUCUGUCCUCAGGCUGAUCAGUGCACUGGCCUUCAGGGCUUCCUGGUCUUCCACAGCUUUGGAGGUGGUACCGGCUCUGGUUUCACCUCCCUGCUGAUGGAGCGUCUGUCCGUCGACUACGGCAAGAAGUCCAAGCUGGAGUUCUCCAUCUACCCAGCUCCCCAGGUGUCCACUGCUGUGGUGGAGCCCUACAACUCCAUCCUGACCACCCACACCACCCUGGAGCACUCUGACUGUGCCUUCAUGGUAGACAACGAGGCCAUCUACGAUAUCUGCCGUAGAAACCUUGAUAUCGAGCGUCCCACUUACACUAACUUGAACAGGUUGAUCAGUCAGAUCGUGUCCUCCAUCACUGCGUCUCUGCGUUUUGAUGGUGCCCUCAAUGUUGAUCUGACAGAGUUCCAGACCAACUUGGUGCCAUAUCCCCGUAUCCACUUCCCUCUGGCCACCUACGCCCCUGUCAUUUCAGCUGAGAAGGCUUACCAUGAGCAGUUAACAGUGUCUGAAAUCACCAAUGCUUGCUUUGAGCCUGCAAACCAGCUGGUCAAAUGCGACCCUCGCCAUGGCAAGUACAUGGCCUGCUGCCUUUUGUACCGUGGUGAUGUGGUUCCCAAAGAUGUGAAUGCUGCCAUUGCAGCAAUUAAAACUAAGCGCACCAUCCAGUUUGUGGACUGGUGCCCCACUGGUUUUAAGGUGGGCAUCAACUACCAGCCUCCCACUGUGGUACCUGGUGGUGACCUUGCCAAGGUCCAGAGGGCCGUGUGCAUGCUGAGCAACACCACUGCUAUUGCAGAGGCCUGGGCCCGUCUGGACCACAAGUUUGACCUGAUGUAUGCUAAGCGUGCCUUUGUUCACUGGUACGUGGGUGAGGGUAUGGAGGAGGGUGAGUUCUCCGAGGCCAGAGAGGACAUGGCAGCUCUGGAGAAGGAUUAUGAGGAGGUGGGAGCUGAUAGUCUGGGGGAUGACGAUGAAGGAGAGGAGUAUUAAGUUGUUUGCAUCCUCUGAUCUGUGAUCUUUGCUUUUUUUUCAUACCAAAAUAAAGUGAGUUCAUCGACUUAUUCUUUUGUGUUUUU
RNAcentral lists this long non-coding RNA (2552 nucleotides) under Xyrichtys novacula (pearly razorfish). The record is from RNAcentral. Lineage: Eukaryota; Metazoa; Chordata; Actinopteri; Labriformes; Labridae.